GACGAACGCUGGCGGCGUGCUUAACACAUGCAAGUCGAGCGGUAAGGCCCUUUUGGGGGUACACGAGCGGCGAACGGGUGAGUAACACGUGGGUGACCUGCCCUCAGCUCUGGGAUAAGCCUGGGAAACUGGGUCUAAUACCGGAUAUGACCUUUCCUCGCAUGGGGGUUGGGUGGAAAGUUUUUCGGCUGGGGAUGGGCCCGCGGCCUAUCAGCUUGUUGGUGGGGUGAUGGCCUACCAAGGCGACGACGGGUAGCCGGCCUGAGAGGGCGACCGGCCACACUGGGACUGAGACACGGCCCAGACUCCUACGGGAGGCAGCAGUGGGGAAUAUUGCGCAAUGGGCGGAAGCCUGACGCAGCGACGCCGCGUGGGGGAUGACGGCCUU
Molecule: ribosomal RNA, 388 nt
Filed under: uncultured bacterium
Lineage: Bacteria
Description: bacterial SSU rRNA
Rfam family: Bacterial small subunit ribosomal RNA
Source: RNAcentral